Molecule: long non-coding RNA, 1345 nt
Organism: Ricinus communis (castor bean)
Lineage: Eukaryota; Viridiplantae; Streptophyta; Magnoliopsida; Malpighiales; Euphorbiaceae
Exons: 4
Source: RefSeq, a predicted model, not a curated record
AAAUUAUUCCUUACAACUUCUUAAAUUUACAUAUUUACCUUCUUCCCGCUGCGUUUCUUUAUUCUUUUUUGGUGUUUUACAAAAUUAUUAGUAGAUAUACUUCAAUCUGGUUAUAUGCUAGCUUGAUUAAGUAAUAUUAUUUGCCUGCUAUUAUGGUACCCUGUGGACCAAUAUGGCUGCUGUUUUGAUGGUUAUCUCACUAAUGAAGUCUAGUUUUUGCCUUCUUUUGUCAUCACUACUGAAAUUUGCACGAAAUGAUUCUUUAGUUUUGUCGUAUAAUGUGGGUUAACCUUUUCAGAGGACGGAUUACAAUUUCGUUUAAUUAUCCUUUUCACAGUUCUACUAGAAAUGAGCUAUGUUUAUGCAUUGAUUACUUACAAGCUUAGUUAUUUAAUCUGUAGGGGACUCAUUUGAAUUUGAUAUCACCUUUUGUUCAGGUUAAGAACAAGUCGGAGGAAUUCAGCACUGGGUCACUUUCUGUUCUCAUGAUGAGUGUUAGGAAUAACACAGGUACCUUUUGCAAAUUCUGUUUUUCCUAGUGUUACUUUCUCAUAAAACCAUUAAAUUAAAAUACUAGCUAUGUUUCACUUGAAAUUGAGUGUUGUCUUAGCAAGUGCGACAAUUGUCGGGCUGUUUGGGAAACUUAAGUCUGUUUAGCUGGGAUAACCUGAUUUGGCUGAACGGAUUGUAACAGAACUAGGUAGCUAUGAGUCUGGGUGCAAUAGUCCAAACACUCCCCUUAUAUAUGGCCCUAAGUUCUUGGCUUGGCUGGUGAAAUCAACGAGGUUGACAUGGGUGCUCCAUCAACUGCCGUAACAACAAGAAGCUUCUUGGACGUGUGAGGACAUUUGAUCGACACUGCAACAUGGUUCUGGAAAAUGUCAGGAAGAUGUGGACUGAGGUAUAUAACUAUACUCUUUUCAUUUGGGUGCCAAAAACUGGGAAAGGCAAGAAGAAAGCUCAGCCAGUAAACAAAGAUAGAUUCAUCAGUAAAAUGUUCCUCCGAGGAGACUCUGUUAUCAUUGUCCUGAGGAAUCCAGAAUGAGACGUGCUGACUUUUGUGAUCUUGCUCAACUUUUUGCCUUCUUGCUUGCUUCGUCUCCUUUCGAGGAGGUGUGCGAAUCAUGUGGUCUUAAUGGAUCUUUAUGAGGCUAAGCUGUGUUGUGUUGAAGAAUUAUAAAAUUACUGACCUUUUUUUUGCUUAAUAGUUGGGUUUUGGACACUGAUCUUAUUUCUUUUGGCACAGUUUAUGUUUAGUGGCGGAGGAUUUAUGUGUUUGUCUUUAUUGUUGCUUCUUGCUUAUCAAUGUGAAUUCCAAUGUACACGUGUUGGCCGGAUUGCCUAG